Molecule: ribosomal RNA, 300 nt
Filed under: Epitrioza marginata
Lineage: Eukaryota; Metazoa; Arthropoda; Insecta; Hemiptera; Triozidae
Description: partial 12S ribosomal RNA
Source: RNAcentral
GAGUAGUAAAAGUUAAUGUCUAGAAACUCAAAAGAUUUGGCGGUAUUUUAUCUUACUAGAGGAACCUGUUUAUUAAUUGAUAUUCCACAAUCAAAUUUACUUUUAAUAAAAUAUUUGUAUACCGCUGUCACGAAUAUAUUGAAAAAUUUAUUUUUUAAUCUUUUUAAGAUUUAUGUUAGGUCAAGGUGCAGUGUUUAGAGAAUAUAAUGGGUUACAAUAAAGAUUAUGAAUGUAAAUUUUGAAAUAGGAUUUAGAAGUAAAAAAAUAUUAAAAUUAUAUGAAUAAAGAUUCUAAAAUAUG